UGGCUCAUUAUAUAAGUUAUCGUUUAUUUGAUAGCACCUUACUACUUGGAUAACCGUGGUAAUUCUAGAGCUAAUACAUGCUAAAAAUCCCGACUUUGGAAGGGAUGUAUUUAUUAGAUUAAAAACCAAUGCCUUCGGGCUUUUUGGUGAUUCAUGAUAACUUCUCGAAUCGCAUGGCCUUGCGCCGGCGAUGGUUCAUUCAAAUUUCUUCCCUAUCAACUUUCGAUGCGAAGGUAUUGUCUUCGCAUGGUUACAACGGGUAACGGAGGGUUAGGGCUCGACCCCGGAGAGGGAGCCUGAGAAAUGGCUACCACUUUUAAGGAAGGCAGCAGGCGCGCAAAUUACCCAAUCCCGACACGGGGAGGUAGUGACAAUAAAUACUGAUACAGGGCUUUUUAAAGGUCUUGUAAUCAGAAUGAGUACAAUUUAAAUCCCUUAACGAGGAACAAUUGGAGGGCAAGUCUGGUGCCAGCAGCCGCGGUAAUUCCAGCUCCAAUAGCGUAUAUUAAAGUUGUUGUGGUUAAAAAGCUCGUAGUUGAACCUUGGGCCUGGCUGGCCGGUCCCCCUCACCGGGUGCACUGGUCCGGCCGGGUCUUUCCCUCUAUGGAACCUCAUGCUCUUUAUUGAGUGUGACGGGGAAAUAGGACUUUUACUUUGAAAAAAUUAGAGUGCUCCAGGCAGGCUUAUGCUCGAAUAGUACAGCAUGGAAUAAUAGAAUAGGACGUGUGGUUCUAUUUUGUUGGUUUCUAGGACCGCCGUAAUGAUUAAUAGGGACAGUCGGGGGCAUCAGUAUUCAGCUGUCAGAGGUGAAAUUCUUGGAUCUGCUGAAGACUAACUACUGCGAAAGCAUUUGCCAAGGAUGUUUUCAUUGAUAAGGAACGAAAGUUAGGGGAUCGAAGACGAUCAGAUACCGUCGUAGUCUUAACCAUAAACUAUGCCGACUAGGGAUCGGAAGAGGUUAUUUUUUGACUCGUUCGGCACCUUUCGAGAAAUCAAA
RNAcentral lists this ribosomal RNA (997 nucleotides) under Ambrosiella sp. SmF18S01. Its description in RNAcentral is "SSU rRNA". It matches the Rfam family "Eukaryotic small subunit ribosomal RNA", at positions 94 to 1102 of the family's 1831-position model. The record is from RNAcentral. Lineage: Eukaryota; Fungi; Ascomycota; Sordariomycetes; Microascales; Ceratocystidaceae.